Molecule: ribosomal RNA, 508 nt
Filed under: uncultured bacterium
Lineage: Bacteria
Description: bacterial SSU rRNA
Rfam family: Bacterial small subunit ribosomal RNA
Source: RNAcentral
GAUGAACGCUAGCGGGAGGCUUAACACAUGCAAGUCGAGGGGCAGCAUAGGGUAGCAAUACUCUGAUGGCGACCGGCAAACGGGUGAGUAACGCGUAUGCAACCUACCCUGUACAGGGGGAUAACCCGGAGAAAUUCGGACUAAUAUCCCGUAAUAAUAUCCGGAGGCAUCUUUGGAUAUUUAAAGUUCCGACGGUACGGGAUGGGCAUGCGUAACAUUAGCUGGUUGGUAAGGUAACGGCUUACCAAGGCUAUGAUGUUUAGGGGUCCUGAGAGGGUGGUCCCCCACACUGGUACUGAGACACGGACCAGACUCCUACGGGAGCAGCAGUGAGGAAUAUUGGUCAAUGGGCGCAAGCCUGAACCAGCCAUCCCGCGUGCAGGAAGACGGCCCUAUGGGUUGUAAACUGCUUUUCCAGGGAGAGAAACUUACGCACGUGUUGCGUGACUGACGGUACCCUGGGAAUAAGCAUCGGCUAACUCCGUGCCAGCAGCCGCGGUAAUAGUGU